UCUUUGCUAGUAUAUCGGUUUAGUACACGCGCCUGUCAACGUCUUAUUACCUUGACGCGCGAAAGCUGGGUUCGACUCCCAGGCAGAGAG
This is a non-coding RNA of Termitomyces sp. T32_za158, 90 nucleotides long. Lineage: Eukaryota; Fungi; Basidiomycota; Agaricomycetes; Agaricales; Lyophyllaceae. The record is from the annotation of a GenBank genome assembly.